GCCCGCAUGGGGUAGUUUGGAUAUCCUAGAAGCCUGCGGAGCUUCAGACUCGGGUUCGAAUCCCGAUGCGGGCG
RNAcentral lists this transfer RNA (74 nucleotides) under Thermoplasmatota archaeon. RNAcentral's name for it is "Candidatus Thermoplasmatota archaeon tRNA-Arg". It matches the Rfam family "tRNA". From Rfam's summary of the family: Transfer RNA (tRNA) molecules are approximately 80 nucleotides in length. Their secondary structure includes four short double-helical elements and three loops (D, anti-codon, and T loops). The record is from RNAcentral. Lineage: Archaea; Methanobacteriati; Thermoplasmatota.